UAACAAUUCCUGCAGCUAUACUCGAGCAAGGAUCUCAACAUGCUGAGCUCGAGAGGUCAUGUCUUCUGAUACCUCUCCUUGUUCUGAGUAGUAAAAGCCCAACAAGUUUGCUGGCACGACCUUGUUCUCAAACCUUAUGAGAGGAUGCAUACCAGAGAUGAGCAGGAAGACCCCUUGCACAAAAAAACCAACUUGUUUUCUUUUUUUUUUUAUUGUAAAGAAAAACCAAUGUGUACUCAUGUUAUAUUUGCCAGAAUCCCUAGUCUUCAUAUUAUCUCAUCAAUGAAAUAGAAUAG
RNAcentral lists this long non-coding RNA (296 nucleotides) under Elaeis guineensis (African oil palm). RNAcentral describes it as "long non-coding RNA (EGUI_LNC082770)". Lineage: Eukaryota; Viridiplantae; Streptophyta; Magnoliopsida; Arecales; Arecaceae. The record is from RNAcentral.